UCUGCCGCUGUGAUGCCAGGUAAACAGACAUCCACCCCUCCCCCUGUAAAGCCCCGGGAACUUUGAAACUCCCCUUCCUGUUUUCUUGCAAGUGCUCUCUUAUCAUCUGGCCAGGCGACAAUGCCUGCUCCAUGGAGCAAACAAUCCCCUGCUUGAAGCAAUGCUGCGCUACUGGAGCUGAUCAGUGUUUGGGCAGAGGAGGCUGUGCAGGGACCCAGGAUGCCCCACGAUCACAACCCCACCUUCGCACAAGACCCAUCGUCAAAAUGGAGAGAGCUGCACUGUGGAAUAGCUGCUCUCAUCGUUGAUGGAAGUGCUGCAAAUAUAAACACUCUCUGAUGCCUGUGGAAGCAUGCUGCACACGGGACCUCUGUUCUGCUUGGGCUCUCUAUAAUGAAAUCUAAGGACUAAAGACAUGGGAAAUUUGAUCCAUCUGCAUACAUCUCUACAUCCAUGCAGAGCCCCGCCAAAGUUGCAUCCCACAGACCCAAAGACACCAGAAAAUAUCACACCCUGAAGACACCAAAAGAAACCCCCAAGCAUCAAGAAAAGAAAAAUGAAGUGCUUUAUAAAUUAGAGACUGGUCAAAUACACCUCUAUCUACCAUAUAUGGACAAUUAAGUUAACAAUCAGCUAAAAACCACUAGCUGGACCAGGAUAAACUGUCAUUUAAUUUCAACUUGGUUAAUUGUGUAAAGACAACUGUAUUAUUGCUGUACUACUGUAUUAUCGUUGUACUGCUGUAUUAUUGCUGUAUUGCAUUAUUGCUGUACAACAUUUACAAUGUGCAUAACCUUGCUAAACUGCUUAACCAACACACAGGUUAAAAAUCAACAAAUGAAUGGCAGCAAACAACAUGAAGGCAAGGAAAAACAAAUUGGUAAAGAAAUUAAGUUACACAGUAACUACAAAUUGGGUAAACAAAUUCCCUGUUAGUACCAGUCAUAAUUUGGGUUACUGACACCACAUCCUAACUAAGGCACAUGUUGUUCAAAAUAAUCUUAUUCAGUGUUUGGAUACCAAUAUUACAUCCUGACACAGCAAUAUUUGAUAAAUUGGUUACUGUCCAUUCAGUAGGUUAUCUGGAAGACAGUAUCCAUAAGAAACAACUGGAUCUACGUCAACCACUGGAGUAUCACAGACAGGGUCGGCUCCAGGCACCAGCCAAGCAAGCUCGUGCUUGGGGCAGUAGAUUCCCUCAAAUCCUUUUUUUUUUUUUUGCUUUGCUCUUCGGCCACCCCGCAGGUUUUUUUCUUUUUGGUUCGCCACUCCAGCCACCCUGUAGGGGUAGGGGGCGGCGGCGCAGAGGAGGGGAGCGCCCUGCCGGGAGUGAGCUGCACGCUCCAUCCAGGGCUGGCUUUAGGCCGAUUCAGCCGAUUCGGCUGAAUUGGGCCCCGCGCCAAGAG
Molecule: long non-coding RNA, 1406 nt
Organism: Chrysemys picta bellii (western painted turtle)
Lineage: Eukaryota; Metazoa; Chordata; Testudines; Emydidae
Source: RefSeq, a predicted model, not a curated record